Long non-coding RNA from Actinia tenebrosa (Australian red waratah sea anemone), 1132 nucleotides. The record is from RefSeq and is a predicted model, not a curated record. NCBI's taxonomy places the organism in Eukaryota, Metazoa, Cnidaria, Anthozoa, Actiniaria, Actiniidae.
GGCGAUCCAAAACCUGAGUUCGCAGUCGGCGCACAGUUUUAUUUCGAAUGCUUGUGAUGGUGUCCAUCUAUAUGUAAAGGAUAUCUUAACCUCCGUUUGCGAUAUCUUUGAUUCCCAACACAGCAGCAGUAAGGACUUGUCGCGCGGGUUAUUCCCGCUGCCGGCGCCUUCCUUAAACCGCCUGUAAAACCCGUAAAUCUUUGACAUUGACCGCGAGUCCCCCUUACUGCUGCUGAUGAUAGAGAUGGUGAGUUGGAAGAAAGAGCUAUGAUUGUCGUAUGCUUUGUGGAUAAAACUUUGAAUAGUAUUCGUAUGAUAUGUAAGAGGUGUGUGCGUUUGUGUGUGCUUGUAUGGUGAUAGGGAGGAUGGUGAGGUUGAAGAUAGGGCUAUCAUUGUCGGGUCUCUUUGGGUUAAACUUUGAACAUUAUUCGUAUGAUAUGUAAAGGUCGUACUUGAAGUAUUUGUGUGCACUUGUAUGGUGGUAGGGAGGGUGGUGAGGUAGAAGAAAGAAAGGGCUAUUAUUGUCGACCGUGAAUCUUGUGGAUAAACUUUAAGAUAAAKAUAUGCGAAUGAUAUAUUUGACGUGAAGUCUGUGUUUGUGUGCGCUUGUAUAGGUAGGGAGGUAGUUGUGUAGAACAAAGGGCUAUCUAUCAUUGCUCUGUGCUUUGUGGAUAACCCUUUCUUGUGAUUAAAUGUGAAAGCAUGCCACACAUAAAAUAGGAACUGUUGGUACUGUUCGUUCUAACGUCGUUCUUCAAUUUCAUAGGAGUUUUGACAGACAGACAGUGUGAAACAGCGGCCAGUCUUUUACCGCAUGAAGUCACUACUUUGCAGGAGCUGUUUUACACUCAGAUGGGAUGCAUCUGUGCGCCAUGGAAAUCGUUAAAUCCGAAAGAAGAGCCUUUGGUCACCCUGUGGAAAAAAGGAACGCAGACAAAGCUGUUUCUUGAGAGCCUGGGACUUGUUGAACAAAUUGAAGGAGAACAAAAGGUUGUUCUUUGUCCAAGGGAAUGUCAACUGUUGAAUGUUCUGUCAGUCUUCUACAAGGAUGUGGACUAGAAGUAAAGAAAAUAAAGAAUAUGAAUGUUAUGAAGUGAAUAUAUAAAAUAAUAAAUGGUUAUUUUUACUUUGA